AGGCACGGUGUGGAGGAA
This 18-nucleotide microRNA is filed under the name Gallus gallus (chicken). RNAcentral describes it as "microRNA Ros-gga". Lineage: Eukaryota; Metazoa; Chordata; Aves; Galliformes; Phasianidae. The record is from RNAcentral.